Molecule: ribosomal RNA, 104 nt
Filed under: Saimiri boliviensis boliviensis (Bolivian squirrel monkey)
Lineage: Eukaryota; Metazoa; Chordata; Mammalia; Primates; Cebidae
Source: RNAcentral
GGUGAUGGCCACACCAUCCUGAACACACCUGAUCUCGUCUGAUCUUGGAAGCUAAGGAGACAGGCUUGGAGGAAGGUACAUCAUGCAUGUCCAGGAGCUCACCA